AACGAACGCUGGCGGCGUGCCUAAGACAUGCAAGUCGUGCGGAAAGGCUCCUUCGGGAGUACUCGAGCGGCGCACGGGUGAGUAACACGUGGGUAAUCUACCUGAGGGUCUGGGAUAACUCCGGGAAACUGGGGGCUAAUACCGGAUGAGACCACGGCGUCCUCGGACGCAGCGGUCAAAGAUGGCCUCUCCUUGGAAGCUAUCGCCUACAGAUGAGCCCGCGUCCCAUUAGCUAGUUGGCGGGGUAACGGCCCACCAAGGCGACGAUGGGUAGCUGGUCUGAGAGGAUGAUCAGCCACACUGGAACUGAGACACGGUCCAGACUCCUACGGGAGGCAGCAGUCGGGAAUUUUGGGCAAUGGGCGAAAGCCUGACCCAGCAACGCCGCGUGAGGGAU
RNAcentral lists this ribosomal RNA (397 nucleotides) under uncultured bacterium. RNAcentral's name for it is "bacterial SSU rRNA". It matches the Rfam family "Bacterial small subunit ribosomal RNA", at positions 29 to 409 of the family's 1533-position model. The record is from RNAcentral.